UCAGCCCCAUGAGCCGAUCGCCUCCCCAAAGCCCCACCUAUGAGCGUAGGAGGCUUUGUGGGACAUGUGGAUAGAAACCAGAACAACAACUUAGCAACUCAGGGAGACCUCGUCUCAAAGUAAAAGGGCUUGGGGAUAUAGCUCAGUGCGAAGGCCCUGGGUUCAAUCCCCAGCACCACACAUACGCAGGGACAGCCACUGCUGGCCUCCUACACGUGAGAGUCACCGCUUCUGUGUCUAGUGUCUCCCCAGGACCCCCGAAGCCUGGGACAGUGAAUUCACCUUGUUCUGAACGGCAAGCGCGGCCCGUGGGGUGGAGCCAGCUCAGUCUUGGUGCUCGUGACGCUCACCAUCUCCCCACCGCACCUUACAGACCAGUUACUCGUUGGGAAAGAGCGGGUACGGGGUGCUUGCCGCAUGCCUGGCACCGGCGGCUCCUCUACUCUGCCAGUAACAUUUUGGGUAAAUACUGUCUGCUGCAGGCUGAAUUUUGUGCUCCUGCCCAUUCUUGCCGAGGUCCUGGUCACCAGUAACUUGGGUGUGACCACAGGUGGGCCACAUUCCACGGAGCCCAUCGCGAGCUGAAAGUCACGUAAGCCAAAUACGCACUCAGCAUAGCACUCUCCCAGCAUCUGGCCCGGCCCCACCGGAAACCGCGGUGUGUGCCUGGCUCACUCCAGCGGGCCUCUGGGGCGGCCACUGUCCCCCGCAUUACAAAAGAGAGCACACUGCAGAUCGCUGGACAGGGCAAGAUCACAAGUUGGAAGUAUGGUUUCUCCCGAAUGCUUACCACUGUUUCAGCACUGGAGAAUUGAAAGGUGAUAAGCCAGGGUCUGUCUGUCUAUGGAGCUGAGACUGGGUAGGUGGAUGGGCCUGAUCCAGCCCGAGCGGGUUCCGGGGAGCCGGGAUUCAGACACAGGUGCACACAAAGCAAGGAGCCGGCGCCUGCAGAUGAGGAGAAACCUGCCAGCCUGACCUCGGCCUUGGGCCUCCACACUCCAGAACUGUGAGCAAAGGAGGGUUUGUUGUUUUGCGUUGCCCACUCACACUGCACCAUCCUUAUUCCCUUUCUCCCUCCAGUGGGAAAUGUGAAGUAAGUGACAGUGGUCAGAGAGGGGUGUGGUGCCACACACAUGUAACCGGAGUA
This is a long non-coding RNA of Fukomys damarensis (Damara mole-rat), 1147 nucleotides long. RefSeq lists it as uncharacterized. NCBI's taxonomy places the organism in Eukaryota, Metazoa, Chordata, Mammalia, Rodentia, Bathyergidae. The record is from RefSeq and is a predicted model, not a curated record. The transcript has 3 exons.